AGGGUUAUAGUUAAUUAUAACAUUUGGGUUGCAUUCAAAAAGUAUUGAGUAUUCAAUUAACCUUA
Molecule: transfer RNA, 65 nt
Filed under: Ceracris hoffmanni
Lineage: Eukaryota; Metazoa; Arthropoda; Insecta; Orthoptera; Acrididae
Also listed under: 1 other name
Description: tRNA-Ala
Source: RNAcentral